This 460-nucleotide ribosomal RNA is filed under the name uncultured bacterium. RNAcentral describes it as "bacterial SSU rRNA". It matches the Rfam family "Bacterial small subunit ribosomal RNA", at positions 29 to 526 of the family's 1533-position model. The record is from RNAcentral.
AACGAACGCUGGCGGCAGGCCUAACACAUGCAAGUUGAACGUGAAGCCACUUCGGUGGUGGAAAGUAGCGCACGGGUGAGUAACACGUGGGAAUUUACACUUCAGUAAGGAACAACAGUUGGAAACGACUGCUAAUACCUUAUAAUGACUCCGGUCCAAAGAUUUAUCGCUGAAGGAUAAGCCCGCGUCUGAUUAGCUAGUUGGUGAGGUAAAGGCUCACCAAGGCGACGAUCAGUAGCUGGUUUGAGAGGAUGAUCAGCCACACUGGGACUGAGACACGGCCCAGACUCCUACGGGAGGCAGCAGUGAGGAAUAUUGGACAAUGGGCGCAAGCCUGAUCCAGCCAUGCCGCGUGAGUGAAGAAGGCCCUAGGGUUGUAAAGCUCUUUCAAUCGUGAAGAUAAUGACGGUAGCGAUAGAAGAAGCUCCGGCUAACUCCGUGCCAGCCGCCGCCGUAACAC